GAUGAACGCUGGCGGCGUGCCUAAUACAUGCAAGUCGAGCGAACGGACGAGAAGCUUGCUUCUCUGAUGUUAGCGGCGGACGGGUGAGUAACACGUGGAUAACCUACCUAUAAGACUGGGAUAACUUCGGGAAACCGGAGCUAAUACCGGAUGAUAUUUUGAACCGCAUGGUUCAAAAGUGAAAGACGGUCUUGCUGUCACUUAUAGACGGAUCCGCGCUGCAUUAGCUAGUUGGUAAGGUAACGGCUUACCAAGGCAACGAUGCAUAGCCGACCUGAGAGGGUGGAUGGCCAGCUGGGAACUGAGACAGGGCCGCGACUCCGAGAGGGGGAAGCGGUAGGGAAUCUUACGGGAUGGAGGAGAGCGGGACAUAGGAACGUCGGGGGAGGGAUGAUGGACUUCGGAUGGUAGAGCGAUGUAAUUAGGAGAGAUGAUAUGUGCAAGUAACUGUGAACAUAUUGACGGUACCGAGUCAGAAAGCCACGGCUAACUACGUG
RNAcentral lists this ribosomal RNA (497 nucleotides) under uncultured bacterium. RNAcentral's name for it is "partial 16S ribosomal RNA". It matches the Rfam family "Bacterial small subunit ribosomal RNA", at positions 28 to 507 of the family's 1533-position model. The record is from RNAcentral.